GAUGAACGCUGGCGGCGUGCCUAAUACAUGCAAGUCGAGCGAACAGACGAGGAGCUUGCUCCUCUGACGUUAGCGGCGGACGGGUGAGUAACACGUGGAUAACCUACCUAUAAGACUGGGAUAACUUCGGGAAACCGGAGCUAAUACCGGAUAAUAUAUUGAACCGCAUGGUUCAAUAGUGAAAGACGGUUUUGCUGUAACUUAUAGAUGGAUCCGCGCCGCAUUAGCUAGUUGGUAAGGUAACGGCUUACCAAGGCAACGAUGCGUAGCCGACCUGAGAGGGUGCUCGGCCACACUGGAUCUGAGACACGGCCCAGACUCCUACGGGAGGCAGCAGUAGGGAAUCUUCCGAAAUGGGCGAAAGCCUGACGGAGCAACGCCGCGUGAGUGAUGAAGGUCUUCGGAUCGUAAAACUCUGUUAUUAGGGAAGAACAAAUGUGUAAGUAACUAUGCACGUCUUGACGGUACCUAAUCAGAAAGCCACGGCUAACUACGU
This 496-nucleotide ribosomal RNA is filed under the name uncultured bacterium. RNAcentral's name for it is "partial 16S ribosomal RNA". It matches the Rfam family "Bacterial small subunit ribosomal RNA", at positions 28 to 506 of the family's 1533-position model. The record is from RNAcentral.